This 200-nucleotide long non-coding RNA is filed under the name Elaeis guineensis (African oil palm). RNAcentral describes it as "long non-coding RNA (EGUI_LNC068987)". Lineage: Eukaryota; Viridiplantae; Streptophyta; Magnoliopsida; Arecales; Arecaceae. The record is from RNAcentral.
AUUUUAUGCAUGCAAAAAUACUGAAACAAGUAUAUAGUAAAAAUUUUAAAAAUUUAGAUUAAAUUUAAUUUAAUCUAAGCAUGCAUAAGAUCAAAUCUUAAAACUAUAAACAGGAUCUAUAUAUGUAAGAUAGGAUUUAAAUAUAGAAAUCAAAUAGAGAAAAAUAAAUAAAGAAGAUCUAAUCUUCAUACCAUGGCACG